RNAcentral lists this ribosomal RNA (234 nucleotides) under uncultured bacterium. Its description in RNAcentral is "partial 16S ribosomal RNA". It matches the Rfam family "Bacterial small subunit ribosomal RNA", at positions 524 to 757 of the family's 1533-position model. The record is from RNAcentral.
UACGUAGGGUGCGAGCGUUGUCCGGAUUUAUUGGGCGUAAAGAGCGUGUAGGCGGCCAAGCAGGUCAGCUGUGAAAACUCGAGGCUCAACCUCGAGACGUCGGUUGAAACCGCUUGGCUAGAGUCCGGAAGAGGAGAGUGGAAUUCCCGGUGUAGCGGUGAAAUGCGCAGAUAUCGGGAAGAACACCCGUGGCGAAGCCGGCUCUCUGGGACGGUACUGACGCUGAGACGCGAA